RNAcentral lists this ribosomal RNA (280 nucleotides) under uncultured bacterium. Its description in RNAcentral is "partial 16S ribosomal RNA". It matches the Rfam family "Bacterial small subunit ribosomal RNA", at positions 74 to 354 of the family's 1533-position model. The record is from RNAcentral.
CCUGCCGUUGCCGGCGACCGGCGCACGGGUGAGUAACACGUAUGCAACCUGCCCGUGGCAGGGGGAUAAGCGGGGGAAACCCCGUCUAAUACCGCGUAACGCGGCCUAGGGACAUCCCAAGGCCGCCAAAGGGAGCAAUCCCGGCCACGGAUGGGCAUGCGGCGCAUUAGCUAGUCGGCGGGGUAACGGCCCACCGUGGCGACGAUGCGUAGGGGUUCUGAGAGGAAGGUCCCCCACACUGGUACUGAGACACGGACCAGACUCCUACGGGAGGCAGCAG